RNAcentral lists this long non-coding RNA (2268 nucleotides) under Cricetulus griseus (Chinese hamster). RNAcentral's name for it is "lncRNA (ENSCGRG00015040060.1)". Lineage: Eukaryota; Metazoa; Chordata; Mammalia; Rodentia; Cricetidae. The record is from RNAcentral.
CUCCUUCUCCUAAUCCUCUUCUCCGUCCCCUCCUCCCCUGCCUCCUCCUCCUCCUAAUCCUCCUCCCCUUACCUCCUCUCCGCCCCUCCUCCCCUGACUCAUCCUGUCCUCUCCAUCCUCCUCUUUCCUCCUCCCCUGACCUCUUCUCUCCCCAACCCGCCCCCCACCCCCGUCUUCCCUCCCCAUCCUCUCUCACCCCCCUGUGUCCCAAACUAUGGCACAAUAGCGUUCAGCUCCUCUGUCUAUUCUGUGUCCAGCAGGAGCCCGCAGUGAUUCAUUGCUCCAAUUAGGGGCUCUGCAGCCCGUGGCUCGGGCUGUCUGAAGGGUCUCCUUUGGGACCCACGAAACCCAUCAGCCGCUGCCGCUGAUCUUUAAGGAAAGGUCAAGCCGGACGCAUUAGAGCCAGCUAGUUUCUCCCAGGUCUAUCCUGCACACUGAAUAGCCAGGGCUGGCUCCAGACCUGGAUCCAAAGACCCAGACCCCAUUCUGCCAGCUGUGUAUACCUCAGAAAGAGGCAGACCUCUUAACUCUACAAACCUCAGUCUCCUGCUAUAUGCAAUGGGCACAUGCUCCCUUCACGGACUGGGAGAAGCAGAACCUAGGCAAAGCUGACAGGCCAAGCUCUCCAGAGACCAAGGCAAGAGGAUCUCAAUGUCAAGGCCAGUCUGGGCUACACAGUGAGACCCUGUCUCAAAGGAAAAGAGCUGAGGGACCCAUGCAAUGACCCCCAAUGUGGAGUGCAGCAGUAGAGGUGUCUCUGCAUGCUGACAGUGGGAUCUGGCAGGACAAGAAAACUCCAGCAACACUCACAGGCUCUGGCCUGGACACAAAGCCAGCUGUGUGGUGCCAGAUGCUUGAACACCAAGAUCCCUUAGUAUCUACUUCAUGUUGCAAAGCCAUCCCAGCCCCCAGCCUGGCCAUUCACAUGUUUGAAGCUCAAACUGGAUUGAGCCAUCCAUUUACACAUGCCUGCCAAGAGUCACAGCAUCUAGACUCAGGGUACCGAGCAGAGUCAUCCUCCUGCCUGCGGCUGUGGAGGGGCCAUGUUCCUUCCAUACCCAUCACUAUUUAAGGCAUGGGCAACACUGCAGCUCCCAGCAACCCUGGCUCAGGGCAGGGACGGCACAGCCCACAGGUUCUGUGGAGACAUGCAGGGCAUCUGGGCAUGGCUCACAUUUUUGCUGCCUGUGGGGCAUCCCCAGCCUUCCCCUAGUUGUCUUCAGCUCUCAGCACCAAACAUACUGUGUCUGUUUCUGGCUGUGUCUCCCCAGGGGCUGACCCCCAACUAGCCUGCCUUGUACUGCCCUAGGUUCAAGGGCUCAAUCAAUGUUGGGACCAGGGACACAGAACUCCAAACCUCACGUGCCUUCUGUUCUAGAAUUAUCAGGCCAUCUGGCAGGAUGGUACCUUCUGUAAUCCCAGCACCCUGGAGAUGGAUGGGAAGUUCAAGGCCAGCCUGGGCUAUAGAGUAAAAUCCUUUCUCAAAAAAUAAAACCUUGGCUGGAGGCAGGCAAGAUCAAAAUGCAUUUUAUAUAAGCCUGAAAUUUUCAAAGAAUAAAAUUAUAUAAAAAGAAAUAAGCCUGGCAGUGGUGGUACGCGUCUUUAAUCCCCACACUGGGAAGGCAGAGGCAAGCAGAUCUCCGAGUUCAAGGCCAGCCUGGUCUGCAGAGCAAAUCUCCAGUUCCAGGACAGCCAGGGCUACACAGGGAAACCCUAGCAUGAAAAACCAAAUAUAUAAUAAAUUAAAUAUAUAUAUAUACAUAUAUAUAAUAAAUUAAAUAAAAAAUCUGACCAGCAUCACACUGCCCCUCUGCAAUCUUCAUCUGCUCCAUGCUUCCUCCUUCCCAAGAGCCUGAAAUCAAAUUACAGCUAUCCCAAGGCACCCAGCUUUUUCCAACCUGCGGUGUUGACAUUCUUGCUCACUGUUCCUUUUGUCACUUCUCUCUUCCUCUGUGUGCAUCCUUCCCAGGACCCAGUUACCGUCUAUCCAUCUGCUUCUACAGAGGCAACCUGGGCUCUGUGUUUGCCCUCCAGCUAGCUGGGGACAAAAGAGAAAAACUGAUCUUUGACUGUCCUUCCUUUUCUUGCUCUUCCCUCUCCCUCCUCCCCCCUCCUCUCCCUCUCCUCCUCCACCUCCACCCCCCACUUCCCUUCCCUUUCCAUCUGGACAGAGCAAGCACUUCACUACUUUCCACAGAAAGAGCUUCAAACAUGGCAGAACACUGGCAAAAAAUAUCCUCCUCAAAGGGAAAGAAUGUUACUAUGAAC